UUAUCACUAAAAAUUUGUUAACACUUUAUACAUAUUUGAAAAGUUCAAUUAGUUGGUUGAAAGACUAAAAAGUCGAAGUUGGAAGAGACAAAAUUUGGUUCAAAUACCAUAAAAAUAAAGAAAAGCUUAUACCCUUUCAUUUCUUUGUAUUUUCUCUUUCAUAUACGAUUUCUUAAUUCGUCUCAACAUAACUUUCUAGAACCGAUCUAAGUAAUGUGCGCAUUACAAAGUUCAUGAUGCAGAACGCGUUUGAUUCAUCCUAUUGGUUUGGCUUGGCUU
RNAcentral lists this long non-coding RNA (279 nucleotides) under Olea europaea subsp. europaea. Lineage: Eukaryota; Viridiplantae; Streptophyta; Magnoliopsida; Lamiales; Oleaceae. The record is from RNAcentral.